This 155-nucleotide ribosomal RNA is filed under the name Paenibacillus agaridevorans. Its description in RNAcentral is "partial 23S ribosomal RNA". It matches the Rfam family "Bacterial large subunit ribosomal RNA", at positions 1464 to 1613 of the family's 2925-position model. The record is from RNAcentral. Lineage: Bacteria; Bacillati; Bacillota; Bacilli; Caryophanales; Paenibacillaceae.
AAUGGGGUGACACAGAAGGGCAGUGACGCGGGCUGAUGGAAUAGCCCGUCCAAGCAGUGAGGCUAGUCGGUAGGCAAAUCCGCCGACUAUUAGGCUGGGCUGUGAUGGGGAGCGAAAAUUGCAGUAGCGAAGGUCAUGUACUCCGGCUGUCAAGA